Molecule: transfer RNA, 76 nt
Filed under: Flammeovirgaceae bacterium
Lineage: Bacteria; Pseudomonadati; Bacteroidota; Cytophagia; Cytophagales; Flammeovirgaceae
Description: tRNA-Phe
Rfam family: tRNA
About the family: Transfer RNA (tRNA) molecules are approximately 80 nucleotides in length. Their secondary structure includes four short double-helical elements and three loops (D, anti-codon, and T loops).
Source: RNAcentral
GGUGCUAUAGCUCAGUUGGUAGAGCAUCGGACUGAAAAUCCGUGAGUCGGUGGUUCGAAUCCACUUAGCACCACCA